RNAcentral lists this ribosomal RNA (255 nucleotides) under uncultured bacterium. Its description in RNAcentral is "partial 16S ribosomal RNA". It matches the Rfam family "Bacterial small subunit ribosomal RNA", at positions 524 to 776 of the family's 1533-position model. The record is from RNAcentral.
UACGUAGGGUCCGAGCGUUGUCCGGAAUUACUGGGCGUAAAGAGCUCGUAGGUGGUUUGUCGCGUUGUUCGUGAAAACUCACAGCUCAACUGUGGGCGUGCGGGCGAUACGGGCAGACUAGAGUACUGCAGGGGAGACUGGAAAUUCCUGGUGUAGCGGUGGAAUGCGCAGAUAUCAGGAGGAACACCGGUGGCGAAGGCGGGUCUCUGGGCAGUAACUGACGCUGGAGGAGCGAAAGCGUGGGGAGCGAACAGG